Molecule: long non-coding RNA, 674 nt
Organism: Hemicordylus capensis (graceful crag lizard)
Lineage: Eukaryota; Metazoa; Chordata; Lepidosauria; Squamata; Cordylidae
Exons: 3
Source: RefSeq, a predicted model, not a curated record
GGUUGGCCUGGAUGAGUCUCCUACCUACGUGGCCCCUGGGCAUACUGGCUUCUGCUUUCUACUGAUUAUUCUGAACAAGGGACCAUACUACUGUGAAACCAUAUACUGAAAACUGCUGUACUUGCUGGACAGGGCUUGCUACAUUGCACAAGAGCUACAAACAGGAUGUAUUCACAGGACUUCAUAAGCAGAUAUACUUGCUUAUUCCAGGUGCAAGAUAGGAAUGAGAACUGUACAGCAGGAGCAGAAUUGCCUCCAGUCAGAGGAGAGAUUCUUCCUGUGUGAUGGUGACGGAUCCUGUUCUGGAGUGGACUGCUCUUUCAUAAGGGUAAAAGGCCACGGAGUUAUGCAUAUGGGAUGGAUGGCAACUGCUGCCCAGUCUGGUUGCGCAACAGAAGCAAGCUGUAGGGAUGAGUUACAUGGUAGCACCCUUUCCUGUCCUGCCACAAAGAAGCAGACCAAGCUGCCAGUCUAGUUGUCCCUUGGCACAUCAGCCACCCUACUUUCCUGAGAUCACUAAUAAUCGGGGCUCCCUCACCUGCGAUUCCAUACGGUGCCCAAUCUGCAUAUGCCGCAACCGGUUCAAAUUCGGGAAAUUUGCAUGAGAGUAAAGAUCUAUUUCAAGUCCUGUUGUUCCCCUAGUCUGUCCAUUUGGGACUGCCUGGACACAUGGA